GCAGGCGCGAAACCUUUACACUGCACGACAGUGCGAUAAGGGGACUCCGAGUGCGAGGGCAUACAGUCCUCGCUUUUCUGUACUGUAGGGAAGUACAGGAACAAGUGCUGGGCAAGACCGGUGCCAGCCGCCGCGGUAAUACCGGCAGCACGAGUGAUGGCCGCUCUUAUUGGGCCUAAAGCGUCCGUAGCCAGCCGAGCAAGUCCGUCGGGAAAUCUGCCCGYUUAACGGGCAGGCGUCCGGCGGAAACUGUUCGGCUUGGGGCCGAGAGAUCCAAGGGGUACGUCCGGGGUAGGAGUGAAAUCCCGUAAUCCUGGACGGACCACCGGUGGCGAAAGCGCCUUGGAAAAACGGACCCGACGGUGAGGGACGAAAGCUAGGGUCUCGAACCGGAUUAGAUACCCGGGUAGUCCUAGCCGUAAACGAUGCUCGCUAGGUGUGGCGUAGGCUACGAGCCUGCGCUGUGCCGUAGGGAAGCCGUGAAGCGAGCCGCCUGGGAAGUACGUCCGCAAGGAUGAAACUUAAAGGAAUUGGCGGGGGAGCACCACAACCGGAGGAGCCUGCGGUUUAAUUGGAGUCAACGCCGG
RNAcentral lists this ribosomal RNA (587 nucleotides) under uncultured haloarchaeon. RNAcentral describes it as "bacterial SSU rRNA". It matches the Rfam family "Archaeal small subunit ribosomal RNA", at positions 335 to 921 of the family's 1478-position model. Lineage: Archaea; Methanobacteriati; Methanobacteriota; Halobacteria; Halobacteriales; Halobacteriaceae. The record is from RNAcentral.